This 241-nucleotide ribosomal RNA is filed under the name uncultured bacterium. Its description in RNAcentral is "partial 16S ribosomal RNA". It matches the Rfam family "Bacterial small subunit ribosomal RNA", at positions 112 to 354 of the family's 1533-position model. The record is from RNAcentral.
CGAACGUAACGCGUACGUAGUACUGGGGGAGUAACACUUAGAAAUAGGUGCUAAUACCGCAUAAGCGCACAGCUUCGCAUGAAGCGGUGUGAAAAACUCUGGUGGUAUACGAUGGUUCCGCGUCUGAUUAGCUAGUUGGUGGGGUAAUGGCCUACCAAGGCAACGAUCAGUAGCCGGCCUGAGAGGGUGAACGGCCACAUUGGGACUGAGACACGGCCCAAACUCCUACGGAAGGCAGCAG